Molecule: long non-coding RNA, 1783 nt
Organism: Oncorhynchus nerka (sockeye salmon)
Lineage: Eukaryota; Metazoa; Chordata; Actinopteri; Salmoniformes; Salmonidae
Exons: 2
Source: RefSeq, a predicted model, not a curated record
AGGCUAGAACAAUUUAUGCAGCAGGUUAGGAGUAUUACGGCUAUGGGUUACGGUUAGUGAAAAUGCUCUCCUAACCAGGGUCGGACGACCCCACACACCCCCUCUUACUUACUGCAUUUCAACCCAUUUUGCCAUGGUGGAGAGAGCAUUUCAACCCAUUUUGCCAUGGUGUGGAGAGAAUUUCAACCCAUUUUGCCAUGGUGGAGAGAGCAUUUCAACCCAUUUUGCCAUGGUGUGGAGAGAAUUUCAACCCAUUUUGCCAUGGUGUGGAGAGCAUUUCAACCCAUUUUGCCAUGGUGUGGAGAGCAUUUCAACCCAUUUUGCCAUGGUGUGGAGAGAAUUUCAACCCAUUUUGCCAUGGUGUGGAGAGAAUUUCAACCCAUUUUGCCAUGGUGUGGAGAGAAUUUCAACCCAUGGUGCAGAGAUACAUAUUUACAGUUUCAGAAUGUUAUUCGACAUGUUGUCAUGAAGCUGACAAAAAAUGGUGUUGUUUUCGAGCUAAUUUCCCACUAUUCAACACAUUUUUCUAUCAUAUGCUAUCUGGGGCCAUUCUAUAGUCCAGCCCUGCUCCUAACCUGCUCCCAAAAUCACUUCUUAUUGAAGUGGUGUGAAAAGAAUGUCCCGAGUGCCACAGGAGGGAGACCGCGACCUACAGGUACUGGGAGGACCUGAGCCCUAGGACUAUGCCCCAGGACUACCUGACAUGAUGACUCCUUGCUGUCCCCAGUCCACCUGACCGUGCUGCUGCUCCAGUUUCAACUGUUCUGCCUUAUUAUUAUUCGACCAUGCUGGUCAUUUAUGAACAUUUGAACAUCUUGGUCAUGUGCUGUUAUAAUCUCCACCCGGCACAGCCAGAAGAGGACUGGCCACCCCACAUAGCCUGGUUCCUCUCUAGGUUUCUUCCUAGGUUUUGGCCUUUCUAGGCAGUUUUUCCUCCUAGCCACCGUGCUUCUACACCUGCAUUGCUUGCUGUUUGGGGUUUUAGGCUGGGUUUCUAUACAGCACUUUGAGAUAUCAGCUGAUGUACGAAGGGCUAUAUAAAUACAUUUGAUUUAAUUUGAUGAGGUAGUCAUUCAUUUAAAAAUGUUUUGUAAUUCUGUGAAUCUUACCCAGUUGAUUAACUCACCCACUCGCCCAAAUCUUAAAUGCCCAGAUAAAUCUACCCUGAUUGAUUUGAUAUUGACAAAUGUUCCACAUAAAUAUUCUGCGGUUGGUGUUUUUUGUAAUGAUUUAAGUGACCAUUGUGCUGUUGUUGCUGUUAGAAAGGUUCCAAAGACAAAGCCACAUUUUAUUCGUAAGAGAAAUUUGAAGUGUUUAAUUAGCAGGCUUUCUUUCAUGAUUUGUUUUAUUUUGACUGGAGCAAGAUUGAGUUUAUCCCUGAUGUGGAAACUGCCUGGAAAUUCUUUAUGUUUUUUCCCAAAUAGUAAACAAACAUGCCCCAUUCCACAGGUUCAGGGUUAAAGGGCGGGAUAAUCCAUGGUUAUCUUCUGAGCUGUCUUGUAUUAUUCAAGGCCGUAAUCUAGCCUGGGCUAAAGCAAGGAAAUCAUGUUCUGAUGCUGAUUGGCUUAUUUUUAGGCAGUUACGAAACAAGUGUUCUUUUCUUCUCAGGAAGGCCAAGUCUGAAUAUUUUAUGUCUGUUACCACUGAUAACCUGAAUGACCCUAGAACGUUUUGGGAGCCUAUUAAGUCUAUGUCUGGUAACAGUAAUGUUAAUGAAUUACCGUCAUGUGUUUUGAAGGACUCUGUUGCUAUACAUGACAACUGAAAUAAAUGCUGAAUUGUA